GGCCUAAUGGUCUAGUAGUAUGAUUCUCGCUUUGGGUAUAGUAGUGGGGGAUGGCUACCAUUGCGAGAGGUCCUGGGUUCAAUUCCCAGUUGGGCCC
This is a non-coding RNA of Marasmius tenuissimus, 97 nucleotides long. Lineage: Eukaryota; Fungi; Basidiomycota; Agaricomycetes; Agaricales; Marasmiaceae. The record is from the annotation of a GenBank genome assembly.